AAUCUCUGCAGACAUCACACAUAGCAAGUGAGCUUACAGACUUCCUCAGAAAUCCUAGCAGGCAGGGGCAAAAUCUCUUUGAAUGACCCGCUAAUAAAUUACGAGCUGGUGGAGAAAGAAGGAAUUGUUUCACAUUGUUCGGGUGCUAAAAUUUCCAACAGGAAUGCAACAAUUAAAUAUUUGAAUUUCUUAAACAUGAACAUUUGGAAUAUGCCUUUGUUUUUAAUUUAACUAUAUAAAUUGUCAUUCACUUUCAGCAAUAAUCAUAGUCAAUGGAAAGGAAAAGAUAAAGAGUAUGUUUUGAAUACUUCCAGUGCCAUCUAUUGGCUGUGAAACGUGUUGUUUCAAUGCUAAGCCAAAACACACCAAUGACUAUUAAGGAAGGAGGAAGACAUUUCACACAUUCACGAUAAAAACACAUCCAAUUGGGUGUUUGAAAGGUUGUAAACAUCACAGUCUGCCUCAAGAUUCUUAUAUGUAUCAUUUCAAAUCAGAGAAUUUAUUUGAUGUAUAAUAAGAAGGAGUAAACAGAUACGAAUAUUUUAAGUAUAAAAUCUAGACUCUCAAGGAUCCAGUAGGUUAUAUUUAAUACCAAUCAUAGAAUAUUUUACUUAUGUUUCAGACAAAAGAAAACUAAUGACUCUUCUUUAUAUAAUGAAUAAUUUUCUAAAAAUCUUGUAGCUUUUACAAACUCAAUGUUCAUCUUCUUUUUGUAAUUGUAGGCAUAAAGGAAGCUAUUUUGUGUCACAAAAAUGGCUCAAUUAACAGCAUUUUCUCUUUGUGCAAGGAUCAAAAAUGAAUAGAGAAAAGAUUGUGCAGUAGAUUUUUAAAGACGUCUUUUCUAAAACUCCCUUUUUACAUGUGUAUUAUAAUUUCUGAGUUAGAUAAUUUGAACAUUCAAAUUAAAGGGCAUGCAAUUAAUCAGUUUCAGGUGAAAUUGUUUUCUCUCAUUCAAUUUUGCUCGCACAGCUAAUUGAAUAAUGAAGAGUUAAGUGGAGGAAAAAGGAAGCUACCCUUUUAAAAUUUGGCUCUCUCUUCCUGCUUCUCAUAAAUAUCUCUUUUGCAAACAGGGUCUUUUUGAUUUUACAAAGUAUUCCAUAUUCAGAACGUAUGGAUAAAAUUGUGCCACUCUGUGCUUGAAAAUAAACAGAACACAUGAAAUCAAACCCCAGAACAAACACACAAGAGAAGAUGCCUUUCCUGUCUUAAAAUCUGCUUUCUUCUAAAUGACUUUGUUAGUCAUGGCUUAUAUUGGAUCUCAAAUGUGGUCAGUCUCCAGAGAAUUGGUUUACUGCCUGGUAAGAUCAUGACAUCCUUGAAGGUGAACCUCAGAAUUUGAGAUGAUUCAGGAAAGUCCAGGAACUUGCCUGCAUUUGGCCCAUUAAAAAU
RNAcentral lists this long non-coding RNA (1389 nucleotides) under Equus caballus (horse). RNAcentral's name for it is "lncRNA (ENSECAG00000052571.1)". The record is from RNAcentral. Lineage: Eukaryota; Metazoa; Chordata; Mammalia; Perissodactyla; Equidae.